GGGUUGUGAGGUUAAGCGACUAAGCGUACACGGUGGAUGCCCUGGCAGUCAGAGGCGAUGAAGGACGUGCUAAUCUGCGAUAAGCGUCGGUAAGGUGAUAUGAACCGUUAUAACCGGCGAUUUCCGAAUGGGGAAACCCAGUGUGAUUCGUCACACUAUCAUUAACUGAAUCCAUAGGUUAAUGAGGCGAACCGGGGGAACUGAAACAUCUAAGUACCCCGAGGAAAAGAAAUCAACCGAGAUUCCCCCAGUAGCGGCGAGCGAACGGGGAGCAGCCCAGAGCCUGAAUCAGUGUGUGUGUUAGUGGAAGCGUCUGGAAAGGCGCGCGAUACAGGGUGACAGCCCCGUACACAAAAAUGCACAUGCUGUGAGCUCGAUGAGUAGGGCGGGACACGUGGUAUCCUGUCUGAAUAUGGGGGGACCAUCCUCCAAGGCUAAAUACUCCUGACUGACCGAUAGUGAACCAGUACCGUGAGGGAAAGGCGAAAAGAACCCCGGCGAGGGGAGUGAAAAAGAACCUGAAACCGUGUACGUACAAGCAGUGGGAGCACGCUUAGGCGUGUGACUGCGUACCUUUUGUAUAAUGGGUCAGCGACUUAUAUUCUGUAGCAAGGUUAACCGAAUAGGGGAGCCGAAGGGAAACCGAGUCUUAACUGGGCGUUAAGUUGCAGGGUAUAGACCCGAAACCCGGUGAUCUAGCCAUGGGCAGGUUGAAGGUUGGGUAACACUAACUGGAGGACCGAACCGACUAAUGUUGAAAAAUUAGCGGAUGACUUGUGGCUGGGGGUGAAAGGCCAAUCAAACCGGGAGAUAGCUGGUUCUCCCCGAAAGCUAUUUAGGUAGCGCCUCGUGAAUUCAUCUCCGGGGGUAGAGCACUGUUUCGGCAAGGGGGUCAUCCCGACUUACCAACCCGAUGCAAACUGCGAAUACCGGAGAAUGUUAUCACGGGAGACACACGGCGGGUGCUAACGUCCGUCGUGAAGAGGGAAACAACCCAGACCGCCAGCUAAGGUCCCAAAGUCAUGGUUAAGUGGGAAACGAUGUGGGAAGGCCCAGACAGCCAGGAUGUUGGCUUAGAAGCAGCCAUCAUUUAAAGAAAGCGUAAUAGCUCACUGGUCGAGUCGGCCUGCGCGGAAGAUGUAACGGGGCUAAACCAUGCACCGAAGCUGCGGCAGCGACGCUGAUGCGUUGUUGGGUAGGGGAGCGUUCUGUAAGCCUGCGAAGGUGUGCUGUGAGGCAUGCUGGAGGUAUCAGAAGUGCGAAUGCUGACAUAAGUAACGAUAAAGCGGGUGAAAAGCCCGCUCGCCGGAAGACCAAGGGUUCCUGUCCAACGUUAAUCGGGGCAGGGUGAGUCGACCCCUAAGGCGAGGCCGAAAGGCGUAGUCGAUGGGAAACAGGUUAAUAUUCCUGUACUUGGUGUUACUGCGAAGGGGGGACGGAGAAGGCUAUGUUGGCCGGGCGACGGUUGUCCCGGUUUAAGCGUGUAGGCUGGUUUUCCAGGCAAAUCCGGAAAAUCAAGGCUGAGGCGUGAUGACGAGGCACUACGGUGCUGAAGCAACAAAUGCCCUGCUUCCAGGAAAAGCCUCUAAGCAUCAGGUAACAUCAAAUCGUACCCCAAACCGACACAGGUGGUCAGGUAGAGAAUACCAAGGCGCUUGAGAGAACUCGGGUGAAGGAACUAGGCAAAAUGGUGCCGUAACUUCGGGAGAAGGCACGCUGAUAUGUAGGUGAAGUCCCUCGCGGAUGGAGCUGAAAUCAGUCGAAGAUACCAGCUGGCUGCAACUGUUUAUUAAAAACACAGCACUGUGCAAACACGAAAGUGGACGUAUACGGUGUGACGCCUGCCCGGUGCCGGAAGGUUAAUUGAUGGGGUUAGCGCAAGCGAAGCUCUUGAUCGAAGCCCCGGUAAACGGCGGCCGUAACUAUAACGGUCCUAAGGUAGCGAAAUUCCUUGUCGGGUAAGUUCCGACCUGCACGAAUGGCGUAAUGAUGGCCAGGCUGUCUCCACCCGAGACUCAGUGAAAUUGAACUCGCUGUGAAGAUGCAGUGUACCCGCGGCAAGACGGAAAGACCCCGUGAACCUUUACUAUAGCUUGACACUGAACAUUGAGCCUUGAUGUGUAGGAUAGGUGGGAGGCUUUGAAGUGUGGACGCCAGUCUGCAUGGAGCCGACCUUGAAAUACCACCCUUUAAUGUUUGAUGUUCUAACGUUGACCCGUGAUCCGGGUUGCGGACAGUGUCUGGUGGGUAGUUUGACUGGGGCGGUCUCCUCCUAAAGAGUAACGGAGGAGCACGAAGGUUGGCUAAUCCUGGUCGGACAUCAGGAGGUUAGUGCAAUGGCAUAAGCCAGCUUGACUGCGAGCGUGACGGCGCGAGCAGGUGCGAAAGCAGGUCAUAGUGAUCCGGUGGUUCUGAAUGGAAGGGCCAUCGCUCAACGGAUAAAAGGUACUCCGGGGAUAACAGGCUGAUACCGCCCAAGAGUUCAUAUCGACGGCGGUGUUUGGCACCUCGAUGUCGGCUCAUCACAUCCUGGGGCUGAAGUAGGUCCCAAGGGUAUGGCUGUUCGCCAUUUAAAGUGGUACGCGAGCUGGGUUUAGAACGUCGUGAGACAGUUCGGUCCCUAUCUGCCGUGGGCGCUGGAGAACUGAGGGGGGCUGCUCCUAGUACGAGAGGACCGGAGUGGACGCAUCACUGGUGUUCGGGUUGUCAUGCCAAUGGCACUGCCCGGUAGCUAAAUGCGGAAGAGAUAAGUGCUGAAAGCAUCUAAGCACGAAACUUGCCCCGAGAUGAGUUCUCCCUGACUCCUUGAGAGUCCUGAAGGAACGUUGAAGACGACGACGUUGAUAGGCCGGGUGUGUAAGCGCAGCGAUGCGUUGAGCUAACCGGUACUAAUGAACCGUGAGGCUUAACCUUACAACGCCGAAG
This 2925-nucleotide ribosomal RNA is filed under the name Escherichia coli. RNAcentral's name for it is "23S ribosomal RNA". It matches the Rfam family "Bacterial large subunit ribosomal RNA". The record is from RNAcentral. Lineage: Bacteria; Pseudomonadati; Pseudomonadota; Gammaproteobacteria; Enterobacterales; Enterobacteriaceae.